RNAcentral lists this long non-coding RNA (213 nucleotides) under Elaeis guineensis (African oil palm). RNAcentral describes it as "long non-coding RNA (EGUI_LNC002554)". The record is from RNAcentral. Lineage: Eukaryota; Viridiplantae; Streptophyta; Magnoliopsida; Arecales; Arecaceae.
UCUCUUGUGCACUCUGACAUCAAGUGAGUACCAUUGUUCAACUUCGGUCCAGAUGCUGGAGCCUAAGUAAGCUGAGAGUAACUUGAGUUGGCCUUGAUGUGAUAAAACAAACUUGCCUUAAGCUUGGCUUGUUUUUGUAUGUAAAAUCAUAAGGCCCAAGCAAAAAUAUAUAAGUAAUUCUUUAUGCACCGUAUGCAGUAUAAUAGGAGCACA